Molecule: transfer RNA, 68 nt
Filed under: Melecta chinensis
Lineage: Eukaryota; Metazoa; Arthropoda; Insecta; Hymenoptera; Apidae
Description: tRNA-His
Source: RNAcentral
AUUUAAAUAGUUUAAUUAAAAAACUUUGAUUUGUGGUUUCAAGAAUGUAUUAUUUGUACUUUAAAUUG